RNAcentral lists this transfer RNA (72 nucleotides) under Stegodyphus mimosarum. It matches the Rfam family "tRNA". From Rfam's summary of the family: Transfer RNA (tRNA) molecules are approximately 80 nucleotides in length. Their secondary structure includes four short double-helical elements and three loops (D, anti-codon, and T loops). Lineage: Eukaryota; Metazoa; Arthropoda; Arachnida; Araneae; Eresidae. The record is from Rfam by way of RNAcentral.
UCCUUCGUAGUGUAACGGUUAGCACACUUGGCUCGUAUUCGAGAGAUCCAGGUUCGUGUCCUGGCGAGGGCA